CAAAGCAAAGAGCAAGGCAAAAGGGUUUGCUGGAAACAGGCUUAACUAGAAACAAGUGGUCUUCCAGUAUAUCAUUUAGGUAUUAGGGCUAGAUGUACGAUGAACAAUUCAUGUUUUAAAUCAACUAUGUUUAUGAUCAGUGAUGAACCUACAUUUCCAUUGAUUCUCACAAGGUACACUAUUAAACCAAUACGCUGGCUUCACUGAUCUCCUAAGGUCCACUAUUAAACCAAUACGCUAGCUUCACUGAUCUCCUAAGGUCGUUGGCUGAUGGUGUCGUAGACAGACUCAUCUCUCCUGGCCAGUGAAGAGUACGUUUGGCUCUCUUCCUUUCCUGUCACAGCUUUGCUGCGCUUCCUGUCAAAACAAAUCCUCAUUAGAAAAUCUUGACAAAAAUGUGUUCUACCUAAAAACAAAAUGAAUAUACCUUAUCAUCAUAUUAACAUCUCACCAUCUCUCUUAAACACUAGUAAUCAGCAUCUCUUACAUAAAUAAUAUACCUUAACAUCAUAUUAACAUCUCACCAUCUCUCUUAAACACUAGUAAUCAACAUCUCUUACAUAAAUAAUAUACCUUAACAUC
Clupea harengus (Atlantic herring) is the source of this 582-nucleotide long non-coding RNA. The record is from Ensembl. Lineage: Eukaryota; Metazoa; Chordata; Actinopteri; Clupeiformes; Clupeidae.